CAGCAGCCACGGUAAUACGUAGGUGGCAAGCGUUGUCCGGAAUUAUUGGGCGUAAAGGGCCCGCAGGCGGUUUCUUAAGUCUGAUGUGAAAGCCCCCGGCUCAACCGGGGAGGGUCAUUGGAAACUGGGAAACUUGAGUGCAGAAGAGGAGAGUGGAAUUCCACGUGUAGCGGUGAAAUGCGUAGAGAUGUGGAGGAACACCAGUGGCGAAGGCGACUCUCUGGUCUGUAACUGACGCUGAGGAGCGAAAGCGUGGGGAGCGAACAGGAUUAGAUACCCCAGUAGUCCCUGUCUCUUAUAA
RNAcentral lists this ribosomal RNA (301 nucleotides) under uncultured bacterium. RNAcentral's name for it is "partial 16S ribosomal RNA". It matches the Rfam family "Bacterial small subunit ribosomal RNA", at positions 509 to 809 of the family's 1533-position model. The record is from RNAcentral.